This 201-nucleotide long non-coding RNA is filed under the name Ananas comosus (pineapple). Its description in RNAcentral is "long non-coding RNA (ACOM_LNC038377)". The record is from RNAcentral. Lineage: Eukaryota; Viridiplantae; Streptophyta; Magnoliopsida; Poales; Bromeliaceae.
UCUCUAAUUCACAUGAUAUUCCAAUUCGGUGCCACUAUAUGGCAAUCUUGUUAUCUCUCAUGUCUCAAUUAAACUUAGGUUUAAAUACGUAAAUCAACUCUCAUUUUCACAAUAGAAAACAUGAUGCUAAAUCUCGAUAGGAUGCCGAAUCAUAUGCUAGUUACGCAUGCUGUUUCUCUACUAUAUAGAGGUUCAAAAUUC